RNAcentral lists this long non-coding RNA (3590 nucleotides) under Triticum aestivum (bread wheat). RNAcentral's name for it is "long non-coding RNA (TAES_LNC002863)". Lineage: Eukaryota; Viridiplantae; Streptophyta; Magnoliopsida; Poales; Poaceae. The record is from RNAcentral.
AUAAUUACCACCCCGUGUCCUUUUUGUCUCCAAGUACAUGUCUCUCUCUUCUUAUUCCCCCUAUAGAAAAAUGCCUCCUCUUAUCUCAUUCGAUCCCCACCAGGUUCCUCAUCCCACACGCAUCAUAUUUCACCCGAUUUGCUGCCAGCGAAGGAAGAUUUUGCCACUUCCAGUAGGAUACUAAUUCCCAGGCUAUCCCUGAUGUACUUGUUCUUAUUUUCUUCGAAUUUCACGUAUUUUGGUGGUGUUGCAGGUUGUCGCGGGAGUGCGUGGUCGCGUUUGACGCAGUCUCAAGGAUGCGGAUCGAGUCUGGCAGCGCGGCCAUGGGGAGGGCAAGCGAAAACGCGGCAUGCUGCUUGGUUUCCCGUGCGAGCUCGUGCCAUAGACAAUGGUUGGUCUGAGGCACGGAACAGCGGGUGGCACCGCGGCUUUUUAGCUACGUCCCAUGAGAUCUAUGAUGAGGUAAUGGCGGCGCCGGACAAAGGUAGCAGUAUGUACAACACCAGCGAGGCCGUUGAUUUGCUUAUAUCCGGUUUCGCUAUUAAGUUACUGAAGCAAGGUAUGUUCCUGUCUGUUUUUGCUAGCCUCGUACAGAUUUUCCAGAAUAUAGUUUCAUUAAAUUAUGAAGUGAAACCUAAUAUUUGUGCUAGCCGAGAAUUGUGAAGUUUUCAAUCUGUUUUGGACUAAGAAAAAUGCUAACAUUCACACCCUUAAUCAUAUACAGGUUGAUGUCAACUACUCUUACUUAUCUUGGUUGAUACAAAUAGACUGCACUACUAUUUAUAUUAUUUGAUAUAAGCUAAGUAAUCCACUAAUUAUGUAGGGCCUUAUUUGGUUCAAAGGAAUAGAAAACAUAUGAAUGAAGAAAAACAUAUGAAUGGAAAAGGAAUAGAGGAGCAAAAUUGAGGAUUAAAAAACAGAGGAAACCCAAAUCAAUAGACGAUCAGUUUGAUGUACUCAAACAGGAGCAGUGUCUCCUAUAAUGUGAACCACCAAUCUACCAAAAUUCCUCUGGAACACUGAUUCCAUUAUAUUUCCUGUGAAAAUCCUUUGAACCAAAUAAGGCCUAGACAUUAUCCUUGUGCUCCUGGUCUUUGCUUUAACAUAUAUCUUGUUCCCUCCAACCCCUUUUUCCUUUGGUUUUAGCAAACAUGUUUUAGUGCAUUCAUCCUUUGAGUCAUUUGGUACGCGACUGUAGAGCACACUCACGCAAUGCUGAUGAUGAUAUUUUGCCUUGAUGCCCAUCUUUGUGUAAUGUAGUCCCAUUACUCUCAUGUGGUUCCUUUUUAAGAGGCACCAGUCCGCAUGAAAAUUUGUUACGUGAAAUUUACUGUUCUGUGACUGCAAAACAAAUAUACUUUUUAAAAUAAGAACACAUUUCUAAAAUAUGAAGUGUGUAUAAUUUAAAUCAAUCAUGUUUUUAUCUGGCAUGUUGUGCUUCUUCGUCAACACAGUGUCCACCUCAUCAUCCAUCUAUUUCUGUGCAACAUGUGUAAGAAAAAUUAGUUAAGGAAUUCUAAAGAUGACACAUUUUACCUUUUUAAUGCACCUUUACUUCCUCGGCUUUAUCAUUCAAGUAGGGCAUCUCAAGUCUAUCAUCAUAGACAAAUGUUCAUUCUACUGCAUUUGUUGUGUGUGCCAAAUUGAGAUUAUUGUCAUUGAUCCUGAAUCAAAAGAUAAGUCUUCUUCCAUAUAAUUGUUAAAUAAUCUUUGUGCUUCUUCCGAUUUCCCAUCCAAUGAGAUGAGAAAGUUAGAUAUAGAUGUAUUAAGAAAUCUUGCAGCCUCCUUGUCAAAUGAAAUCUCAUCAGUUUAGUAAGUUCUUGUAUGUGGCUGGUUUUCAUGAGUUUAGUAAGUUCUUCUAAGGUUUUCCUCCUUUAAAACAUUUGUUCUUGUAGUGUUCCUUGAUUUCUUCCAUCUAUACUGAUCACUUUUGCCAAUAUUUUCCUCUACUGAUUGCCUGCACAUAUAUGAAAUAAAUAAGAAUAUACAAUCUUUAUCAAGUGAGUCAUUAUUAAUGAAUUAAAAAAAUAGUAGUGUUUCAUAUCCAUCAAGAAGUUCUUGUGUUUCUCGUAUAUCCAGAUCUAUAAAUAUGCUUGUGGCACUGGUUGACUUUAGGAACAUACCUAUAUAAUGAAAAAUCUCUCUAUGUAAUUAUCAUAAGAAUACCAUGUAAUAUUUAUGGACUUACCAUUGAUUUUUUUUACUAUACACAGUAGGGAAAUUUCCCACUGCAUUUUUUAUAAGUAAUAAAAGGGUGUCCCAAGGGGAAGGACUUACCAUUGAACUUCUGCAUCGUCGUGGAUGUAAAUGACAGUUUGGCUGCCGAUUACAUCCUUGGUCAAUAAAUAAGCAAACUUUCUCCAGAAUGUUAUUCUGAUUUUAUCAGCCCUAAAGAAUUUGAUCCGAGGAGUUAGUGCUAACUACAUAGGGGAAGUUAAGUUAAAUUUGUGACAUGCAUAUGCAUGUGCACUUACUCUAGCGUUAGAAUUUCAAUCUCGCGAAUAUAUGAAGGUUGUGGGUUCUUCUUUGUUAUUCUUGUUUCCGUGGAUUGUUUUACCCUGUCAAAACAGACAAAUAUGCUUAGUAACUGUUGCUUGAACUAAUAGAAUAAUUUGAAAUUAAAUACAUAAAGAAUAGACCUGCUCAUCCAUUAUUAUCAUCCAUUGUAGGAUUGACCAUCUCUCAACUUCCUGUAUCCCAUAGUGCUUUGUCUUCAAAACGAAUAGGAAAAUAUUUUUCAAUUGAAAUAGUAUCUAUUUAGAUUGUAUAAAAAAUAAGAUUGCUAAAUAAUAAUUAAAAAAUCUGAUGAUUCAGUACAGUUAACAAAUCUGGUGAUGGCGAUUCAGGUUGGGAGUGCAUGCCGUGACUUCGUCGGACAUCGAGUGGGAACAGUUGGGCGUGACUUCUUCAGGCGUCGAGCUUGCUUUGGCAUGAUUUCAUUGGACAUCGAGUGGAGUGGUUGGGCAUGGCUUUCACGUUGCCUGGCAGCCCCGUUGACUCCAAUCUCACUAUGACGCGACUUUGCUAGGCAUCAAGUGUGAUUUGGCGUGAUUUCAUCAGAGAUUGAGUGAAGUUGUUGGGCAUGGCUUUAUCGUUGCCUGGCAGUUCCAUCGGCUUGACAUCGAGUCGUGUGUUUCAUUGUGGGACUGAUUUUCUUCUAGCAUCUUCAAGUCACGGUGAUGACCGUCUAAUUCUUUGGUGUGUGCUUGGGCCGGUUGGACUUCUUUUGUUUAUAUAUGGGUUGAGGUGGCUGGGUUAUCUGGCCAAGACCGUAUGGAAAUCUAAGACUUGUCUUGUUUACAUGUGUCCCUUUUGGAAAUUUCAUUACACGUGCAUUGGUUGCUAUUCUUUUGUACGUUUGCAUGUUGGACUUCUAUUUUUGUUAUCCGUGUUAUUCACCUCAGCGUUGGUUGCCCCGUGACACGCCGUACUACUUUUUUAUUUUCCAUGCCGCUACUUUUACAUGUAAAUAUUACACCUUGCAUUAGUUGACGUGACAUGUUGCACUACUUGUACAUCUAAUAUUUUUACGUAAUGUUUGCAUCUUUUAAUCUCGAAUGUUCAUAUCUAAAAUUAAGGAUCAAGAUAAU